UACACUCCUACGGGAGGCAGCAGUGGGGAAUUUUGGACAAUGGGCGAAAGCCUGAUCCAGCCAUGCCGCGUGCAGGAUGAAGGCCUUCGGGUUGUAAACUGCUUUUGUACGGAACGAAACGGCCUUUUCUAAUAAAGAGGGCUAAUGACGGUACCGUAAGAAUAAGCACCGGCUAACUACGUGCCAGCAGCCGCGGUAAUACGUAGGGUGCAAGCGUUAAUCGGAAUUACUGGGCGUAAAGCGUGCGCAGGCGGUUAUGUAAGACAGUUGUGAAAUCCCCGGGCUCAACCUGGGAACUGCAUCUGUGACUGCAUAGCUAGAGUACGGUAGAGGGGGAUGGAAUUCCGCGUGUAGCAGUGAAAUGCGUAGAUAUGCGGAGGAACACCGAUGGCGAAGGCAAUCCCCUGGACCUGUACUGACGCUCAUGCACGAAAGCGUGGGGAGCAAACAGGAUUAGAUACCCGGGUAGUCCCA
Molecule: ribosomal RNA, 474 nt
Filed under: uncultured organism
Description: partial 16S ribosomal RNA
Rfam family: Bacterial small subunit ribosomal RNA
Source: RNAcentral